UACGUAGGGUGCAAGCGUUGUCCGGAAUUAUUGGGCGUAAAGAGCUCGUAGGCGGUCUGUCACGUCGGACGUGAAAAUCCAGGGCUCAACCCUGGACCUGCGUUCGAUACGGGCAGACUAGAGUUCGGUAGGGGAGACUGGAAUUCCUGGUGUAGCGGUGAAAUGCGCAGAUAUCAGGAGGAACACCAAUGGCGAAGGCAGCUCGCUGGGACGGUAUUGACGCUAAGGCGCGAAAGCGUGGGGAGCAAACAGG
Molecule: ribosomal RNA, 253 nt
Filed under: uncultured bacterium
Lineage: Bacteria
Description: partial 16S ribosomal RNA
Rfam family: Bacterial small subunit ribosomal RNA
Source: RNAcentral